This 505-nucleotide ribosomal RNA is filed under the name uncultured bacterium. RNAcentral describes it as "bacterial SSU rRNA". It matches the Rfam family "Bacterial small subunit ribosomal RNA", at positions 811 to 1316 of the family's 1533-position model. The record is from RNAcentral.
GGNCACUAGGUGUGGGGGACAUUCCACGUUUUCCGCGCCGUAGCUAACGCAUUAAGUGCCCGCCUGGGGAGUACGGCCGCAAGGCUAAAANUCAAAGAAAUUGACGGGGGCCCGCACAAGCGGCGGAGCAUGCGGAUUAAUUCGAUGCAACGCGAAGANCCUUACCAAGGCUUGACAUAUACUGGACUGNNUCAGAGAUGGCGUUUCCCUUCGGGGCUGGUAUACAGGUGGUGCAUGGUUGCCGUCAGCUCGUGUCGUGAGAUGUUGGGUUAAGUCCCGCAACGAGCGCAACCCUCGUUNUAUGUUGCAGCACGUGAUGGUGGGGACUCAUAGGAGACUGCCGGGGUCAACUCGGAGGAAGGUGGGGAUGACGUCAAAUCAUCAUGCCCCUUAUGUCUUGGGCUUCACGCAUGCUACAAUGGCCGGUACAGAGGGUUGCGAUACUGUGAGGUGGAGCUAAUCCCUAAAAGCCGGUCUCAGUUCGGAUUGGGGUCUGCAACUCGAC